RNAcentral lists this ribosomal RNA (66 nucleotides) under Streptosporangium canum. RNAcentral's name for it is "16S rRNA. Bacterial SSU". It matches the Rfam family "Bacterial small subunit ribosomal RNA", at positions 1 to 64 of the family's 1533-position model. Lineage: Bacteria; Bacillati; Actinomycetota; Actinomycetes; Streptosporangiales; Streptosporangiaceae. The record is from RNAcentral.
AUUGUUUGGAGAGUUUGAUCCUGGCUCAGGACGAACGCUGGCGGCGUGCUUAACACAUGCAAGUCG